RNAcentral lists this ribosomal RNA (505 nucleotides) under Cyrtonops asahinai. Its description in RNAcentral is "partial 16S ribosomal RNA". It matches the Rfam family "Bacterial large subunit ribosomal RNA", at positions 1819 to 2596 of the family's 2925-position model. The record is from RNAcentral. Lineage: Eukaryota; Metazoa; Arthropoda; Insecta; Coleoptera; Cerambycidae.
GUCUUUUUGAUUUUGAUUUAAAGUCUGGCCUGCCCCCUGAUUAUUUAAAUGGCCGCAGUAUACUGACUGUGCAAAGGUAGCAUAAUCAUUAGUUUUUUAAUUGAAAGCUGGAAUGAAGGGUUUGAUGAGAAAUAAUCUGUCUCUGAUGAAGUAAUAUAAAAUUUUACUUUUAAGUUAAAAGGCUUAAAUUAAUUUAAAAGACGAGAAGACCCUAUAGAGUUUUAUUUUUUUAGAUUGAGUAUUGACUUGGUAAUAAAAAUUUAUUUUUUUUAAAAAAAUUUAGUUGGGGUGACUGGGAAAUUUGAAGAACUUUUUUUUUAAUAUUCAUAAAUUUAUGAGUUUUUGAUCCUUUAUUUUGAUUAAAAGAUUAAAUUACCUUAGGGAUAACAGCGUAAUUUUACUGGAGAGUUCAAAUUGAUAGUAAAGGUUGCGACCUCGAUGUUGGAUUAAAAUAAAUAGUUGGUGGAGGAGCUAAUUGGUUAGGUCUGUUCGACCUUUAAAAUUU